RNAcentral lists this unclassified non-coding RNA (345 nucleotides) under soil metagenome. Its description in RNAcentral is "partial contains 5.8S ribosomal RNA, internal transcribed spacer 2, and large subunit ribosomal RNA". The stretch from base 1 to 121 matches the Rfam family "5.8S ribosomal RNA", at positions 35 to 154 of the family's 154-position model. The record is from RNAcentral.
GAUGAAGAACGUAGCGAAAUGCGAUAAGUAAUGCGAAUUGCAGAAUUUCCGUGAGUCAUCGAAUCUUUGAACGCACAUUGCGCCCACUGGUAUUCCGGUGGGCAUGCCUGUUCGAGCGUCAUUAUCCUCCCUCAAACCUCGGGUUUGGUGUUGGACCCAAGUUGUGUGAACAACUGGUCUUAAAGACAAUGACGGCGUCCGUGGGACCCUCGGUGCAACGAGCUUUUAGGAGCACGCGUCGAGUUUCAAGGACCUUCCGGGCCGGUCUCCUUUACCAUUUUACAAGGUUGACCUCGGAUCAGGUAGGAAUACCCGCUGAACUUAAGCAUAUCAAUAAGCGGAGUA